UACGUAGGUGGCAAGCGUUGUCCGGAAUUAUUGGGCGUAAAGAGCGUGUAGGCGGCCAGGUAGGUGGGUUGUGAAAACUGGAGGCUCAACCUUCAGACGUCGACCCAAACCCCCUGGCUAGAGUCCGGAAGAGGAGAGUGGAAUUCCUGGUGUAGCGGUGAAAUGCGCAGAUAUCAGGAGGAACACCGGUGGCGAAGGCGGAUCUCUGGGCCGAUACUGACGCUGAGGAGCGAAAGCGUGGGGAGCGAACAGG
This 253-nucleotide ribosomal RNA is filed under the name uncultured bacterium. Its description in RNAcentral is "partial 16S ribosomal RNA". It matches the Rfam family "Bacterial small subunit ribosomal RNA", at positions 524 to 776 of the family's 1533-position model. The record is from RNAcentral.